This 619-nucleotide ribosomal RNA is filed under the name uncultured bacterium. RNAcentral describes it as "bacterial SSU rRNA". The stretch from base 1 to 521 matches the Rfam family "Bacterial small subunit ribosomal RNA", at positions 338 to 873 of the family's 1533-position model. The record is from RNAcentral.
CCUACUGGAGGCAGCAGUGGGGAAUAUUGGGCAAUGGAGGAAACUCUGACCCAGCGACGCCGCGUGCGGGAUGAAGGCCUUCGGGUUGUAAACCGCUUUCAGCAGGGAAGAAGCGAAAGUGACGGUACCUGCAGAAGAAGCACCGGCUAACUAUGUGCCAGCAGCCGCGGUAAUACAUAGGGUGCAAGCGUUGUCCGGAAUUAUUGGGCGUAAAGAGCUCGUAGGUGGUUCGUCACGUCGGAUGUGAAAAUCUGGGGCUUAACCCCAGACCUGCAUUCGAUACGGGCGAGCUUGAGUAUGGUAGGGGAGUCUGGAAUUCCUGGUGUAGCGGUGGAAUGCGCAGAUAUCAGGAGGAACACCAAUGGCGAAGGCCGGACUCUGGGCCAUUACUGACACUGAGGAGCGAAAGCGUGGGGAGCGAACAGGAUUAGAUACCCUGGUAGUCCACGCCGUAAACGGUGGGCACUAGUUGUGGGGACCUUCCACGGUCUCUGCGACGCNGCUACGCAUAAGUGCCCGCCGUCGGGAGGUACGAGCGCGAGAAGUUAAACUAACUUAAAUUAGUAAGUUAGUUACGGCGUUGAGACGUGCCGACGGACGACGACGAGGGGAGGUUAGG